Molecule: ribosomal RNA, 254 nt
Filed under: uncultured bacterium
Lineage: Bacteria
Description: partial 16S ribosomal RNA
Rfam family: Bacterial small subunit ribosomal RNA
Source: RNAcentral
UACGUAGGGUGCGAGCGUUGUCCGGAAUUAUUGGGCGUAAAGAGCUCGUAGGCGGUGUGUCACGUCGGCCGUGAAAACCUGCAGCUUAACUGUGGGCGUGCGGUCGAUACGGGAAUCACUGGAGUUCGGCAGGGGAGACUGGAAUUCCUGGUGUAGCGGUGAAAUGCGCAGAUAUCAGGAGGAACACCGGUGGCGAAGGCGGGUCUCUGGGCCGAUACUGACGCUGAGGAGCGAAAGCGUGGGGAGCAAACAGG